GAUGAACGCUGGCGGCGUGCUUAACACAUGCAAGUCGAACGGUGAAGCCAAGCUUGCUUGGUGGAUCAGUGGCGAACGGGUGAGUAACACGUGAGCAACCUGCCCUGGACUCUGGGAUAAGCGCUGGAAACGGCGUCUAAUACUGGAUAUGAGCUCUCAUCGCAUGGUGGGGGUUGGAAAGAUUUUUCGGUCUGGGAUGGGCUCGCGGCCUAUCAGCUUGUUGGUGAGGUAAUGGCUCACCAAGGCGUCGACGGGUAGCCGGCCUGAGAGGGUGACCGGCCACACUGGGACUGAGACACGGCCCAGACUCCUACGGGAGGCAGCAGUGGGGAAUAUUGCACAAUGGGCGGAAGCCUGAUGCAGCAACGCCGCGUGAGGGAUGACGGCCUUCGGGUUGUAAACCUCUUUUAGCAGGGAAGAAGCGAGAGUGACGGUACCUGCAGAAAAAGCGCCGGCUAACUACGUGCCAGCAGCCGCGGUAAUACGUAGGGCGCAAGCGUUAUCCGGAAUUAUUGGGCGUAAAGAGCUCGUAGGCGGUUUGUCGCGUCUGCUGUGAAAUCCCGAGGCUCAACCCUCGGGCCUGCAGUGGGUACGGGCAGACUAGAGUGCGGUAGGGGAGAUUGGAAUUCCUGGUGUAGCGGUGGAAUGCGCAGAUAUCAGGAGGAACACCGAUGGCGAAGGCAGAUCUCUGGGCCGUAACUGACGCUGAGGAGCGAAAGGGUGGGGAGCAAACAGGCUUAGAUACCCUGGUAGUCCACCCCGUAAACGUUGGGAACUAGUUGUGGGGACCAUUCCACGGUUUCCGUGACGCAGCUAACGCAUUAAGUUCCCCGCCUGGGGAGUACGGCCGCAAGGCUAAAACUCAAAGGAAUUGACGGGGACCCGCACAAGCGGCGGAGCAUGCGGAUUAAUUCGAUGCAACGCGAAGAACCUUACCAAGGCUUGACAUACACCAGAACACCGUAGAAAUACGGGACUCUUUGGACACUGGUGAACAGGUGGUGCAUGGUUGUCGUCAGCUCGUGUCGUGAGAUGUUGGGUUAAGUCCCGCAACGAGCGCAACCCUCGUUCUAUGUUGCCAGCACGUAAUGGUGGGAACUCAUGGGAUACUGCCGGGGUCAACUCGGAGGAAGGUGGGGAUGACGUCAAAUCAUCAUGCCCCUUAUGUCUUGGGCUUCACGCAUGCUACAAUGGCCGGUACAAAGGGCUGCAAUACCGUGAGGUGGAGCGAAUCCCAAAAAGCCGGUCCCAGUUCGGAUUGAGGUCUGCAACUCGACCUCAUGAAGUCGGAGUCGCUAGUAAUCGCAGAUCAGCAACGCUGCGGUGAAUACGUUCCCGGGUCU
RNAcentral lists this ribosomal RNA (1343 nucleotides) under uncultured bacterium. RNAcentral's name for it is "bacterial SSU rRNA". It matches the Rfam family "Bacterial small subunit ribosomal RNA", at positions 28 to 1381 of the family's 1533-position model. The record is from RNAcentral.